GGAAUAUUGCACAAUGGGGGAAACCCUGAUGCAGCGACGCCGCGUGAGUGAAGAAGUAUUUCGGUAUGUAAAGCUCUAUCAGCAGGAAAGAAAAUGACGGUACCUGACUAAGAAGCCCCGGCUAACUACGUGCCAGCAGCCGCGGUAAUACGUAGGGGGCAAGCGUUAUCCGGAUUCACUGGGUGUAAAGGGAGCGUAGACGGCGACGCAAGGCUGGAGUGAAAGGCCGGGGCCCAACCCCGGGACUGCUCUGGAAACUGCGGCGCUGGAGUACGGGAAGGGCAGGCGGAAUUCCUGGUGUAGCGGUGAAAUGCGUAGAUAUCAGGAGGAACACCGGCGGCGAAGGCGGCCUGCUGGACCGUGACUGACGUUGAGGCUCGAGAGCGUGGGGAGCAAA
This 397-nucleotide ribosomal RNA is filed under the name uncultured bacterium. Its description in RNAcentral is "bacterial SSU rRNA". It matches the Rfam family "Bacterial small subunit ribosomal RNA", at positions 358 to 772 of the family's 1533-position model. The record is from RNAcentral.